This 497-nucleotide ribosomal RNA is filed under the name uncultured bacterium. RNAcentral describes it as "partial 16S ribosomal RNA". It matches the Rfam family "Bacterial small subunit ribosomal RNA", at positions 28 to 507 of the family's 1533-position model. The record is from RNAcentral.
GAUGAACGCUGGCGGCGUGCCUAAUACAUGCAAGUCGAGCGAACAGACGAGGAGCUUGCUCCUCUGACGUUAGCGGCGGACGGGUGAGUAACACGUGGAUAACCUACCUAUAAGACUGGGAUAACUUCGGGAAACCGGAGCUAAUACCGGAUAAUAUAUUGAACCGCAUGGUUCAAUAGUGAAAGACGGUUUUGCUGUCACUUAUAGAUGGAUCCGCGCCGCAUUAGAUAGUUGGUAAGGUAACGGCUUACCAAGGCAACGAUGCGUAGCCGAACUGAGAGGGUGAUCGGCCACCCGGGAACUGAGACACGGUCCAGGCGCCUGCGGGAGGCAGCAGUAGGGAAUCUUCCGCAAUGGGCGAAAGCUUGACGGAGCAACGCCGCGUGAGUGAUGAAGGUCUUCGGAUCGUAAAACUCUGUUAUUAGGGAAGAACAAAUGUGUAAGUAACUAUGCACGUCUUGACGGUACCUAAUCAGAAAGCCACGGCUAACUACGUG